GUGGGGAAUUUUGGACAAUGGGCGCAAGCCUGAUCCAGCAAUGCCGCGUGCAGGAAGAAGGCCUUCGGGUUGUAAACUGCUUUUGUACGGAACGAAACGGUCCUGGUUAAUACCUGGGGCUAAUGACGGUACCGUAAGAAUAAGCACCGGCUAACUACGUGCCAGCAGCCGCGGUAAUACGUAGGGUGCAAGCGUUAAUCGGAAUUACUGGGCGUAAAGCGUGCGCAGGCGGUUUUGUAAGACAGGCGUGAAAUCCCCGGGCUCAACCUGGGAAUUGCGCUUGUGACUGCAAGGCUGGAGUGCGGCAGAGGGGGAUGGAAUUCCGCGUGUAGCAGUGAAAUGCGUAGAUAUGCGGAGGAACACCGAUGGCGAAGGCAGUCCCCUGGGCCUGUACUGACGCUCAUGCACGAAAGCGUGGGGAGCAAACAGGAUUAGAAACCCUGGUAGUCC
Molecule: ribosomal RNA, 450 nt
Filed under: uncultured bacterium
Lineage: Bacteria
Description: partial 16S ribosomal RNA
Rfam family: Bacterial small subunit ribosomal RNA
Source: RNAcentral